UGUAAGGGUUUUGAUUUAUUUUCUUGCAACGUUUGACCAUUCGUCUUAUUCAAAAAUUUAUGCUAAUAUUAAUUAUUUUUUUAUGACUUACUUUAUUAUCAAAAGUACUCUAAGCACGACUAAUUCUUUUUUAAAUUUACAUAAUUUUUUAAAUAAGACGAAUGGUCAAACGUUACAAGCAAAAAAGUCAAAACUCUUACG
Molecule: microRNA precursor, 201 nt
Filed under: Leersia perrieri
Lineage: Eukaryota; Viridiplantae; Streptophyta; Magnoliopsida; Poales; Poaceae
Description: MIR812 microRNA precursor family
Rfam family: MIR812 microRNA precursor family
Source: Rfam by way of RNAcentral